Molecule: long non-coding RNA, 862 nt
Organism: Pogona vitticeps (central bearded dragon)
Lineage: Eukaryota; Metazoa; Chordata; Lepidosauria; Squamata; Agamidae
Source: Ensembl
AUUAUCUCCAGGUUAAAUUUUUCCAGCUGGCUUUUUAUAAAGCCUGACAACUUUCAGCCACAGAAGUAAUGAAUCAUGCAGUGUCCCAACCUCUGAAAAGAAAUGUGUGUUCUGUUAAUGCUCCUGAACCAUUCCGUAUGCAUAUUGCUAUCAAGCCAAGGGUUCCACCAUGUGUUAUUGGUGUGGCAGCUGGAUUUCAAGAAACAAGGUCAUCCAUAAAAGUUGGAAGCGAGCCUAUGAUAGACAGAAAAGCUCACAUCAGUAAAUCUUUUCAGGAAUGCUUAGGUGAAGAGAACGGCUAUUUGGGAAUGUAUAAAACCUUACAGAAGGAAAAUCAGCAACUCAAAAAAACACUAAAAGAAAAGGAUUUGAUUAUAACAAGAUUAAUGAAGAUUAUUGAAAACCAGGUUACCAAGUAUAACAAAGCAAUUGAAUUAGAAAAAGAACAUCAGAAAGAGACUGAAAGGCGAUUAGAGGAGUCGGAGCGCUUAGUCAAGGAGCAGAUCCAGUUGCUAGAUGACACCAUAAGACAUUACACGAAAAUCAUUCAAGAACAGCACACACAGCAUGCAGAGCUGAUAUCUGAAAUGAAAAAGCAGAAUGAGGCUGAUAUAAGGUGCAGAGAAGAAAAGAUUGCCAAGCUGAAACAAUACAUUUCUGAGACUUUCGAAGAAAAAUCCCGCGAACAUCAACAGCAGAUAGAUGAACUGAUGAGAGAAAUAAAUAAAUUCAUGGAGAUGUCACACAUUCUUAAAACAUGAAAAAGAAUUGGGCUCAAAAAAGGAAUCUGAAAAGAUCAAGAAGUAAAUCAUAUCUCGAGAGAUCUUUGAGCGGGUCUGAAAAGAAUACUCACCCUGCUUCG